Molecule: ribosomal RNA, 625 nt
Filed under: uncultured bacterium
Lineage: Bacteria
Description: bacterial SSU rRNA
Rfam family: Bacterial small subunit ribosomal RNA (bases 1-545)
Source: RNAcentral
CCUACGGGAGGCAGCAGUGGGGAAUUGUUCGCAAUGGGCGCAAGCCUGACGACGCAACGCCGCGUGGAGGAUGAAGACCUUCGGGUCGUAAACUCCUUUCGAUCGAGACGAAUGUUUUCCGGGUGAACAAUCCGGAAAAGUGACGGUACCGAGAGAAGAAGCCCCGGCUAACUCUGUGCCAGCAGCCGCGGUAAUACAGGGGGGGUCAAGCGUUGUUCGGAAUUACUGGGCGUAAAGGGCUUGUAGGUGGCCAACUAAGUCAGACGUGAAAUCCCUCAGCUUAACUGGGGAACUGCGUCUGAUACUGGAUGGCUUGAGUUUGGGAGAGGGAUGCGGAAUUCCAGGUGUAGCGGUGAAAUGCGUAGAUAUCUGGAGGAACACCGGUGGCGAAGGCGGCAUCCUGGACCAACACUGACACUGAGGAGCGAAAGCCAGGGGAGCAAACGGGAUUAGAUACCCCGGGUAGUCCUGGCCCUAAACGAUGAAUGCUUGGUGUGGCGGGUAUCGAUCCCUGCCGUGCCGAAGCUAACGCAUUAAGCAUCGCCGUGGAGGUACGGUCGCGAGCGNGAACGACGAAGAAGUAGACGGCGUGAGACGUGCCGACGGACGACGACGAGGGAGGAGG